RNAcentral lists this transfer RNA (71 nucleotides) under Eurypharynx pelecanoides (pelican eel). RNAcentral's name for it is "tRNA-Val". It matches the Rfam family "tRNA". From Rfam's summary of the family: Transfer RNA (tRNA) molecules are approximately 80 nucleotides in length. Their secondary structure includes four short double-helical elements and three loops (D, anti-codon, and T loops). The record is from RNAcentral. Lineage: Eukaryota; Metazoa; Chordata; Actinopteri; Anguilliformes; Eurypharyngidae.
UAGGAUAUAGUUAUAAGGAAAAACAUCUCACUUACACCGAGAAAACAUUCAUGCAAAUUGAAUUAUCCUAA